This 85-nucleotide small nucleolar RNA is filed under the name Jaculus jaculus (lesser Egyptian jerboa). Lineage: Eukaryota; Metazoa; Chordata; Mammalia; Rodentia; Dipodidae. The record is from RNAcentral.
UAGGGUGAAAAAAAAAAUUUUUUUUUUUUUUUGACUGGUUACAUGAUGAAUAAAAUCAAAUCACCAUCUUUCGGCUGAGCUCCUG